GUGGUUAAAAAAAAUCUAUAUUUCAAUUUUGCUAAUAUACAAAUGAAUUUUAGGCGGAAAAAUUACCUCCAUAAUCAAUAAAACACUUGACCUGGUUAAAAUGAUGGAAAUUCUUCCCUCUAAAAGCAUUAUUUGGCGGAAAAACUUCCUCCGAAAUACAUGUAAUUUAUGAGUUAAAAAAAAAAGAAAAGAAAAAUGAAGUAAAGCAUAGCUACUUCUCCAACGUUCUUCGGUUCUUCCCAUCAUUCUCUAUUCUCUAACGACCAUCUCCUAAAGUGAUAGAUCAAGUCAAAGACGAAUCCACGAAAGAAUUGCAAAACUUGAGCUCCAACUCUCUUCCUUUACUUCUUCCGAUCGCCGCCACUGACGCCACCCCAUAGCGUCUUUCCGGUGAUCUGAGAGGUGCAAAAAUGGCGAUAUGUUUGGUGGCUUCAAUUGCAAAGUGCAAGGUGGCUUGUCAGCAAGGGCCAAGGGAAGGAGGAUAUCUGAAGCCAAGAAGGAAUUAAUGAGGUUACGAGGAAAUAACGAUGUCACAGAUGUCAAGGUAGUCUGGUGCCAGGAAGAGGCAAUGAACAUGGGCGCUUACAGCUAUAUUGUACCUCGUCUAUGUCCA
Molecule: long non-coding RNA, 613 nt
Organism: Chenopodium quinoa (quinoa)
Lineage: Eukaryota; Viridiplantae; Streptophyta; Magnoliopsida; Caryophyllales; Amaranthaceae
Exons: 4
Source: RefSeq, a predicted model, not a curated record